Molecule: non-coding RNA, 28 nt
Filed under: Mus musculus (house mouse)
Lineage: Eukaryota; Metazoa; Chordata; Mammalia; Rodentia; Muridae
Source: RNAcentral
AACCAGUACUUCCUAAAACAUCUGAGUC